Motacilla alba alba is the source of this 2559-nucleotide RNA transcript. It is a transcript of the gene named nuclear envelope integral membrane protein 1, with no coding region annotated. The transcript is spliced from 10 exons. The record is from RefSeq and is a predicted model, not a curated record. Lineage: Eukaryota; Metazoa; Chordata; Aves; Passeriformes; Motacillidae.
CCCCCACGCGUGACCCAUUCACACAAACAACGCGAGGCCGCGCCCUGAUAGGCGGAGGCGGUUGUCAAUCACGCGGGAUAUUCAUGAGGGUGGUGGGCGCGGCCUGCGCUGCCUGCGUUCUGAUUGGUUGACGGGUGCGUCUGUCAGAGCCGUUACCAGGGUGGGGCGCGGCUGUGGAGUAAAUGGCGGGCAUGAUGGUCACCGUGGUAACCGAGGGCGGGAACACAGCUGUUUCCUCCAUGCGCACUGCUGAUAGGCUAAAAAUCCCGUCAAUCAACGCGGCAGGAGCAGAGGGGCGGGAGCGGCAUCAGAGAUGAAUUGUGAUAGGUUAAGCCGGCUGUCAAUCGAUCCCAAAGCCCGGCGAGCGCCUUUCCUAUUGGCUGUGGAUGCGCCUCGGCGGCCGGGCCGCGCGGGCGGCGGAAGCGGAAGCGGCCGGCGGAGCCGCGGCGGGAGGGAUGAAAGCGGCUCCGGGGCGGCGGCGGCGGCGGCUCCCGGUACUGCCCGUGCUGCUGCUCCUGUUCCUGCCCUUCCUGCCCCUGCGAGCUGCAGAUGCCAUCAUCCCGCUGCAGGAGGGGCACAACUCCCAGUACAGGGAAUCCCUGCGCUUCUGCUACAACAACACACGCGCCCCGCGAUGGAACGACGUCUGGACCAGGACACAGAUCCGCGUCAACGGCAGCCGCAUGUUCCGCGUCACGCAGGUGGACAGCGAGGAGGAGCUGGAGAAGUUCAGCGUGUGGAAUGUGGUCUUCUCCUUCCUGAGGGGCAAGCUCAACGACACCAGCAUCGACGUGGAUCUCUACAGCAACAAAACCUGCCUCAAGGUCGAGCUGCUGGAGCCCGGCACCACCUACUCCGUCGUCCUCUUCCGACGUUUUGACCCUAAGCUGUUCCUUGUUUUCUUCCUGGGCCUGCUGUUGUUUUUCUGUGGGGACACGCUGAGCAGGAGCCAAAUCUUCUACUACUCAGCUGGGAUCAGUGUUGGCUUGUUGGCCUCGCUGCUUGUCCUUGUCUACAUGAUGUCCAAAGUCAUGCCCAAGAGAAGCCCUGUAUACUUCCUGCUGGUUGGAGGUUGGUCCUUUUCCCUGUACCUGCUUCAGCUGAUCUUCAAGAACCUGCAGGAGAUCUGCAAGUCCUACUGGCAGUACCUGUUAGGUUACCUGCUCUUGGUGGGCCUCCUGAGCUUCGCCGUGUGCUACAGGUACGGCCCCUUGGAGAACGAGCGCAGCAUCAACCUCCUGUCCUGGGCCCUGCAGUUCCUGGGGCUGCUGCUGAUGUACUCGGGCAUCCAGAUCCACCCCAUCGCCCUGGGCCUGGUGCUCCUGGCUGUCUGCACCAAGAACCUGGAUUACCCCUUGCAGUGGGCCUUCGCUGCCUACCGCAGGAAGGUGCAGCGUUUCAAGCUGGGCCCCACCCCUCCUCGGCUGCUGACAGAGGAGGAAUUUCAGCUCCAGGGCGAGGUGGAGACCCGCAAGGCCCUGGCAGAGCUGCGGAGCUUCUGCCGGAGCCCCGAAUUCUCUGCCUGGACCACGGUGUCCCGCAUCCAGUCUCCCAAAAGGUUUGCUGACUUUGUGGGUGGUGCUUCCCACGUCACCCCCAACGAGGUGUCAGCCCACGAGCGGGAGUUUGGCCUGGAAAGCCUCUGCAUUGAAGAGCAGCUCUUCGAGGAGGAUGAUGACGACGACGAUGAGGAAGAGGAGGAAAACAUCAGUGACUCCUCUGGUGGGAAUCACAAGAGUGAUUCCCUGCCCCACAACCAUGUGGAUGUCCAGUGAGGUCAGCUGUCCUGAGCUGGCCAAGGAGCAGAACCAGUGCUGGGCAGCUCCAGGUGCCUGAGGGUGACACACACCAGAGGAACUUUGGACCUGUCCCGCUGGUACCUGCGUGCUCAGCACCUGCCUGGAGCCAUGGUGAGGGAGCUGCCAGUGGCCUGCUCCUCCUCCUCCUGGUACAAAUAUCCCAGAGGGCUCCAGCUGGUCGGGCCACACCUCUGCCUUGGCUUCAAUCCCGUGUGGAUACCAAAAACUCCGGCGUUUCCUCGAUGGAGCUGUGGAGCCUCGGGGUCUGCUGGCUGCCCCUGGAUGUGGUGUUGGGGUAAAGGCCAUGCUCAGCCCCCUCUCGCCAUGCCAGAGCUGAGGAUGAGUGUGGAUGUUCUUCCUCCCCGCCUCACUGCCCUUCUCCUGCUGUUACUUCUCUCCCAGUGGGUGUGGGCAGGGACUGAGGGUGACCCCACUGGAACAUCAGAACUCUGGGGAGCUCUACCAAAGCCCAAAGCUGGAGGGGACACCCCAGUCUAUGCAACUUCCUAAGCAAUAAUGCUGCCCUCACUCCUCACAGUGUCUCAGCUGCUCUGGGGAUGCCCAGCCCAGCCCCUACCUCACCUGGAGCUUCUGCCAUCCGUUUGUCCCAGUCCCAGGUCUGUCCCUGUCCCAGGUGUGCUCCCCAGCCCUUGCUGUGCUUUCCUCCCUGUUCAGGUGUGAGCAGACUCUGUUACUUCGUCUCCCCCUGCCUCACCGUGGUGGAUGACUGAUUAUAUUUUUAAUAAAGAUGUAUUUUUUA